This 400-nucleotide ribosomal RNA is filed under the name uncultured bacterium. RNAcentral describes it as "bacterial SSU rRNA". It matches the Rfam family "Bacterial small subunit ribosomal RNA", at positions 355 to 770 of the family's 1533-position model. The record is from RNAcentral.
UCGAGAAUCUUCCACAAUGGACGAAAGUCUGAUGGAGCGACGCCGCGUGAUUGAUGAAGUCUCUAGGGAUGUAAAGAUCUUUUAUGAAGGAGAAAGUUUUGAUAGUACUUCAUGAAUAAGGGGUUGCUAAACUCGUGCCAGCAGCAGCGGUAAUACGAGUACCCCAAGCGUUAUCCGGAAUUAUUGGGCGUAAAGGGUGUGUAGGUGGUCGUAUUAGUCAUUCGUUAAAGCUCCCGGCUUAACCGGGAAAUCGCGAAUGAAACGGUACGACUAGAGGGCGCGAGAGGUUUGCGGAACUCAUAGUGUAGGGGUGAAAUCCGUUGAUAUUAUGGGGAACACCAAAAGCGAAGGCAGCAAACUGGUGCGUUUCUGACACUGAAACACGAAAGCGUAGGUAGCG